UCGGACGUGGUGUACGGGACACAGCGAGCUUUCGUAUAUGUAACCUCCAUAUGCCACUCGCAGUCCGGGGUUCGACUCCCCGCGUCCGAA
Molecule: non-coding RNA, 90 nt
Organism: Mycena epipterygia
Lineage: Eukaryota; Fungi; Basidiomycota; Agaricomycetes; Agaricales; Mycenaceae
Source: the annotation of a GenBank genome assembly